GAAAACAUUAUAUUAUACAUAAGGGUUAAAAUGGUUUGCCGAUAACAUAUUCAAGUACUACGGAUUACAAUCCACUAAGAAGAUUCAAGUACCAAAACAGGAAGUUUAUUAAAAUCCACAUAUAUUCCAUACGGCUCGAUCCCUCGGCUUUCCCCGAACUUGGUUCAACUUUGCUCCUCGGAUUCGGAUCAUGCGUUACCUACACCAAGAUACCAUCUAUAUGAGCCUUUAAAAAGACUCAGUAAGAAUCCGAAAGUAAUAACAAGGUUUUGAAAAAGUCUUUACACAUAAUUUAUAUAUAUACACACACACACAUAUAUAUAUAUAUAUAGGCAUACACGAACACAUAAUAAACUUACUAUCAUUCAAACUUACACUUACUAUACCUUACCUUUACCUUUCAUUUAAACCUUUCAAGGAUACUUAACAUCCUUUCAUAUUCUUUUUAAAGUCGGGUACUUAACACCCUUCUUUUCUUUACUUUAAUAUGCAAAAGUCGGGUACUUAUAAGAACCCUUCUUUUUUUUACUUUAAUAUGCAAUAUGCAUGCAAAAUGAGACUUAAGACUUUUAAAACUUUUCAUGAUAAAACGUUGGGCCCGUUUGGAAAAACAAUCGUGGAGUUCGGCAAUAAGCCGUGUGUUUUGGAGCUUGUGAUCUAUAACUUUACUAUAGUCACGACUAUAACUUUACUAUAGCCGAGUUAGUGGUUUAUAAUCCCGAUUCCUAUGUGAAUCAGUCCCUAUGUGGACAGGCCCCUAUGUGGACCCCAACUAUCAACCACUAACCGGAAUAUAGUCACGGCUAUAACUUUACUAUAGCCGAGUUAGUGGUUUAUAAUCCCGAUUCCUAUGUGAAUCAGUCCCUAUGUGGACCCCAACUAUGAACCACUAACGGAAUACCAGCCCCCCGUAUCCCAUACUUAUUCACCUAGAUCCACAACCAAUUUCCAAACAUUUUUAACUUUGAAAAGUCAUGAUUUAUGCAUCUUAGAGUUACUAAUGAAUCAUAUGAUGCUUACAUGAUCUAUCUAUGUUACUUUCACAUAAACAAGCAUAAAGGUAACAAGCACCACAACAAUUAUAUUUCACAUCCUUAAUCAAAUCAUUGGACACAUAAUCAUAUAGAACAUAGCACUUUUACUUUCACAUUUAAUUUCAUAAGCACACAUAAACAUUUAAUAUCACAUAGCAGCACCAAGAAGGGCAUUCUUCAACUUUAACCAUAUUAUAAUCACAUAAUCAUAUAACCAUGUCAUUCAUAGCAUAUCAAUAUCACUCAUAUCAUGAAUUAUGAAAAUUAUCACAUACGACAUUACUUUACUCUAAUCACUUAAUACAUACACCAUUAUUUCAAAAGUGCCACACAUAAUAACAAAUAAUAUACGAAAUCAAUCAAGUAUUCUAACUUAUCAUAGAAAUCAAUUAAUCAUUUUUCUAAAUAUGGUACUUGCUCCUUAACACCAUUUCUAGGCUAGUAGAUUGUAAUACUUUCUUAGGACAUGCAACAAGAUACCUAAACUUAGAUUAUUAGGACAUAACUUAGAGGUUUCACCUUCAUCACUAACUUAUCUUUCCUACCUCGGAUAUUAGAACCAUGAUCACAAAUCAUACUUUGAUAAAAAUAGUCAUCUUAAGAAAAUCAAACAGUUUUGGUAUCCUAACUUCGAAAAAUCAUUUCUCUUGAACCACAAAUCAACAGCCUUUGAAACUUUUACAACAUACUCCUUUAUAUGUCUUUAAAACCAGUGAGAAACAGUUUACAAAAAUCAUCAUCGGAGUAAAAGAUAUAAAUAAAUUUCUAAGGUGGUACAGUUUUGAAAUCUGAACAGAGGGAGUUACUUUAAAAAUGCAUUUUGCUUUAUGGAUUCAUCCAAACCUUUUGAAAUUUUAACUUCAUAUACUAUUAGGAGUCUUAUAUACCCCAGAAAAACAGUUUUAGAAAAUCCUUAGAAAAUUAGGAUAAAUAAGUAAAAUGGUACAGCUGUGCAGUUCAAAACUCAGAACAGGGGAGGGGACUUCAAAACUUUCUUACAAUUAUCUACUGUAUAAAGCACUGCCAAAUAUUAUCGCAAAUGAGUUCUCUAAGUUGGGGUUCUAUUAAAAGUGGAAUCACUAAAUUUCAAAGAGGAAAACAUUAGAUUUCAUUACGUUUUCUAAACUGACUCUGGUUCUGUAUAGUUUCGGUAAAUAAAUCAUAACUUAUUCAUUUAUACUCCAAAAAUUACAAGCCACAUAUGAAUAUGAACAUAACAGAGAGAUCUAUCCUCAUAUAAAAUUUCGUAGUUUUCAGAAAUAAACUCGUGGGUGAAACAUGAGUUAAAAUCCGUACCUAUGAAUCUGAAAAUUUUACACAUAACCAUCUAUUUCGAGAUUCUAGAUUCAAUCAACUAUAUGCCUCAAAUUCCAACCUUAAGCAUGUAAAAUUACAACUACAACAUCAAUAAUAUUAACAUGCAAUGCUUAGAAACAUAAGAAUAAUUAAUUUCAUAGCAUCUCAUCAUCAAAUUUCGGGUUUCUCACCAAUCUUCUAUUUUCUUUCAAGAAUCAAUAAUCAAGAGCUAGAUUCUCACAUGCAAGGCUUUAAACAUGAAAUUAAACAUAUCAAAACAUCAUCAUCAUUUUUCUCAUCAAAGAUCAAGGAUUCAAGCAUGGAUCUUAACAUGCAUGAGACUGAACAUAUAACAUAUUAUGAGCAUUUUCUUUCAUAAAACUUUCGAUUUCUUCAAACAAUCAAGAAGGGGAGUUUUUCAAAAGAGAAGAGAAGGAAAUACUAUUGAUGUUAGCUUGAUGUAGCAAGAAUUCCAUGAUUCUUACCUUAUGAUCUUUUCAAAAUUUGAAGAACUUUGUGGAUAUUUGCAACCCACUAGAGAAUCCUUCAAGAAAUUCAAAAAUUAGAGAAAGCUCUUAGGGGAUUUUUGAAAAUUGAAGAAAGAAACAAAGAACAAGAGUUUUCUUACACGUCUUUAUGAAGAACCUCUUUUAUUGAAAUGAAAAGAGUUCUUGAACUUUACCUCACUACAAAUUUCGAAAUUAAGGAAGAAGAAAUGAAGAGAUUUGAUGGGGAAGGCUUGAAUUAGAAGAAGAGAUUUCUUCUUCUACUUGGGCUAUUUUGAUCGAUGGAGAGGGGGAAGGAAAAGGGGACUUAGCUGAUUUUUGGUGUGAGGAAAUGAAGAGGAGAGGGUGGUAUUUAUAGAAUUGAAGAGGCUUGUAUUCCUAAUGAGUAAGUAUGAAGAGGGGUCUUUUUGCAAUUAGGAGUAACUUGAAAUAAUCUAGAGGGACUUCUAGGCAAUUUCAUUUAAGUUAUCUUAAAAAUAAUGCUAAAUGAAAAGCCAACUGGAAAUGCACAUGGAAUAAGUGUAUGCAUGCAACACAUACAAUCAUAGCCAAUUUAAAGAGAGGAAAUUACUAUCAAUUAAGCAUAUAAACCUUCUAGUGUGAGAAAAUAAAUUCUUAUAUUACUAAAAGUAAAUUCACGUAGAUCACAUAAUUUCACGUGUUCAAUUAUAUUAAACUCAUGAAAUACAUUUUAGUUGCGCAAAUAGAGAAUAAAAUAAAAAAAAUAUUCAUGUAGACAUAUAAUGCACAUUAGUUCACAUAAAUAACAAAUAUAGCAAAUUGAAAAGCAAUUAAUUAAAUUCGCACAUACAACACAUAUUCAUGCUAAGGAGACGAGAGGGAAAAUACGGAAACCGGGUAUCGGAAACGUGGGGUGUUACAAUAUAUAUAUAUAUAUAUAUAUAUAUAUAUAUAUCAACUCACGAAUUAAAUUACUAUAUAUAUUUAACUAAAUUUUAAUUACAACUUAAAAAAUUAAGCAAACAAUGUCUUGAAAUUGGUCCGUUUCUUCAACCCACGCACUAUAAAAUAACUCAACUAAUACAAAAUGAAAAAUAAUACAUUCGAAUUUUUACAUAUUAGAAUAAAAAAAAUACAUAUACUAAAACAUAUUAGAACAUACCUUCAUAUUUUUACUUUUACGUUUUGCAAAAAAAAGAAGAAGAAAAUCAUACUAAAUUAGUACAAUAUUUCACAAAAAAAUUAAAAAACGAAAAUUAAAAAACUAUACACAUAGAUGUAUUAUGAUUUUGUUUUGAAGAACUGAAAAUAUAUAAAUAAACAGAUUAAGUUAAUAUAACAAUAUAAUAACAACCACAUGUGUUUAAAAAAUUAAACAUAGUUAUUUUUUUUUUUUUUUGCUAAGAACAUAAAAGAAAAAAAAAAGGCUGGAGACUAAC
Molecule: long non-coding RNA, 4236 nt
Filed under: Erythranthe guttata (spotted monkey flower)
Lineage: Eukaryota; Viridiplantae; Streptophyta; Magnoliopsida; Lamiales; Phrymaceae
Description: long non-coding RNA (EGUT_LNC000249)
Source: RNAcentral